UCCACUUGCCACGCGCCGGAC
This 21-nucleotide unclassified non-coding RNA is filed under the name Mus musculus (house mouse). Its description in RNAcentral is "oocyte_clustered_small_RNA10413". Lineage: Eukaryota; Metazoa; Chordata; Mammalia; Rodentia; Muridae. The record is from RNAcentral.